This 68-nucleotide transfer RNA is filed under the name Desmognathus fuscus (dusky salamander). RNAcentral describes it as "tRNA-Glu". It matches the Rfam family "tRNA". Rfam says of the family: Transfer RNA (tRNA) molecules are approximately 80 nucleotides in length. Their secondary structure includes four short double-helical elements and three loops (D, anti-codon, and T loops). Further hydrogen bonds mediate the characteristic L-shaped molecular structure. tRNAs have two regions of fundamental functional importance: the anti-codon, which is responsible for specific mRNA codon recognition, and the 3' end, to which the tRNAs corresponding amino acid is attached (by aminoacyl-tRNA synthetases). tRNAs cope with the degeneracy of the genetic code in two manners: having more than one tRNA (with a specific anti-codon) for a particular amino acid; and 'wobble' base-pairing, i.e. permitting non-standard base-pairing at the 3rd anti-codon position. Lineage: Eukaryota; Metazoa; Chordata; Amphibia; Caudata; Plethodontidae. The record is from RNAcentral.
GUUUUUAUAGUUGAAUACAACAUUGAUUUUUCAGAUCAAAAGUUUUGGUUAAAAUCCAAAUAAGAAUU